This 921-nucleotide ribosomal RNA is filed under the name uncultured bacterium. RNAcentral describes it as "bacterial SSU rRNA". It matches the Rfam family "Bacterial small subunit ribosomal RNA", at positions 485 to 1402 of the family's 1533-position model. The record is from RNAcentral.
AGCAAGCACCGGCUAACUCUGUGCCAGCAGCCGCGGUAAUACAGAGGGUGCAAACGUUGUUCGGAAUCACUGGGCUUAAAGCGCGCGUAGGCGGCGACAUCAGUGUCUUGUGAAAGCCCCCGGCUCAACCGGGGAACUGCAGGGCAUACUGUGUUGCUAGAGUACGAGAGGGGAGAGGAGAACUCCUGGUGGAGCGGUGGAAUGCGUAGAUAUCAGGAGGAAUGCCGAAGGUGAAGACACCUCUCUGGCUCGUAACUGACGCUAAGGCGCGAAAGCUAGGGUAGCGAACGGGAUUAGAUACCCCGGUAGUCCUAGCCCUAAACGAUGGGUACUAGGUAGGGGGGAUUCCUAUAUUUUCCCUGCCGAAGCAAAAGUAUUAAGUACCCCGCCUGGGGAGUACGGUCGCAAGGCUAAAACUCAAAGGAAUUGACGGGGGCUCACACAAGCGGUGGAGCAUGUUGUUUAAUUCGAUGCAACGCGAAGAACCUUACCUGGGCCUGAAUGCAGGGAUUAAGCUGUGAAAGCAGUGGAUUCUCUUCGGAGGUAACCUGCACCGGUGUUGCAUGGCUGUCGUCAGCUCGUGUCGUGAGAUGUUGGGUUAAGUCCCGUAACGAGCGAAACCCCUAUUGUUAGUUGCCAGCGGGUAAUGCCGGGGACUCUAGCGAGACUGCCGUUGUCAAGACGGAGGAAGGUGGGGAUGACGUCAAGUCAUCAUGGCCCGUACGCCCAGGGCUACAAACGUGCUACAAUGGCAUGGACAGAGGGAAGCCAACCCGCGAGGGGGAGCAAAUCCCAUAAACCAUGUCUCAGUUCGGAUUACAGGCUGCAAUUCGCCUGUAUGAAGUUGGAAUCGCUAGUAAUCGUGGAUCAGCUACGCCACGGUGAUAUGUUCCUGAGCCUUGUACACACCGCCCGUCAGGC